AGGCUUCCAAGAAAAACCUCUAAGCUUCAGAUUAUAAGAACCCGUACCGUAAACCGACACAGGUAGUUGGGAUGAGAAUUCUAAGGUGCUCGAGAGAUUCAUGGCUAAGGAACUAGGCAAAAUAGACCUGUAACUUCGGGAGAAAGGUCGCCCUCAGUAAUGAGGGCCGCAGUGAAAAGGUCCAGGCGACUGUUUAUCAAAAACACAGGGCUUUGCUAAAUUGAAAGAUGAUGUAUAAGGCCUGACACCUGCCCGGUGCUGGAAGGUUAAGAGGAAGGGUUAGCGCAAGCGAAGCUCUGAAUUUAAGCCCCAGUAAACGGCGGUGGUAACUAUAACCAUCCUAAGGUAGCGAAAUUCCUUGUCGGGUAAAUUCCGACCUGCACGAAUGGUGUAACGAUUUGGGCACUGUCUCGGCCAUGCGCUCGGUGAAAUUGUAGUUCCGGUGAAGAUGCCGGAUACCCGCGAUGGGACGAAAAGACCCCGUGAACCUUUACUACAGCUUGCCAUUGGCAGCGUGCACGUUAUGUGUAGGAUAGGUGGGAGGCUACGAACCUGGUGCGCUAGCACUGGGGGAGCCGUUGGUGAAAUACCACCCUUAUCGUGUGUGCUGCCUAACCCCUGGGACAGUGGCUGGUGGGUAGUUUGACUGGGGUGGUCGCCUCCAAA
This 666-nucleotide ribosomal RNA is filed under the name Isochrysis galbana. RNAcentral's name for it is "partial Bacterial large subunit ribosomal RNA". It matches the Rfam family "Bacterial large subunit ribosomal RNA", at positions 1602 to 2293 of the family's 2925-position model. Lineage: Eukaryota; Haptophyta; Isochrysidales; Isochrysidaceae. The record is from RNAcentral.